UACGAAGGGGGCUAGCGUUGCUCGGAAUCACUGGGCGUAAAGGGUGCGUAGGCGGGUUUUUAAGUCAGGGGUGAAAUCCUGGAGCUCAACUCCAGAACUGCCUUUGAUACUGAAGAUCUUGAGUCCGGGAGAGGUGAGUGGAACUGCGAGUGUAGAGGUGAAAUUCGUAGAUAUUCGCAAGAACACCAGUGGCGAAGGCGGCUCACUGGCCCGGUACUGACGCUGAGGCACGAAAGCUAGGGGAGCAAACGGG
This 253-nucleotide ribosomal RNA is filed under the name uncultured bacterium. RNAcentral's name for it is "partial 16S ribosomal RNA". It matches the Rfam family "Bacterial small subunit ribosomal RNA", at positions 524 to 776 of the family's 1533-position model. The record is from RNAcentral.